CAUUAAUAAAGAGUAUCAGGUGUGUAUAGUUCUGAAAGAGUUAAGACUUGAUUGAGUGCAAUAAGCAUUCAAAACUCCUUCCCAAACGCCUGCCCCAGCCCAGCCACUGUGAUAAUAUCACAUGGAUUGAUGAGACGAAAGAAACAGCUUGUUGGAGUCAGACGUGGGACUAAUCUUUUCCUUAUAAUCUCUGAGGGAAUGUUAGUCAUGGUCAUCCAACUUUAAAUCAUUAUAUCAGGUAAAGGAGGAAUGCUCUCUAUUGGAGUGUUGCAUACCAAGGAUAUAGAAGAUUAAGAAACUUCAACCGCCCUACAAAGCCAAAACUGUCCAGAACAACGACAACUGUUCAACUAUCAAUGCCAGUGCUACCAGUGACCUUCACUACAAUGGUUACAAACACAAGAUAAAGAAUUAGAAUGAGACCAUUUGGCCCAUUGAGUUUGUUCCCCUAUUCAAUCUUGGCUGAACUACGUCUCAAACCCACUAUCCUGCCUUCUCGCCAUAACCCUUGAGAAAAAGUUAUCAACUAUCUACUCUUCAAGAGCAAUUUAGUGACUGAUCCUCUAUGUAUUUUGUACACGUUAGUCUUUUUGGACUCGGCUUUUAUUUUGAAUCUGUAUGUAUAUAUGUUGCUUCUGACGCUUAGUAAUUAAUAAAUUCAUUUCUUUUGUUAAUU
This is a non-coding RNA of Chiloscyllium plagiosum (whitespotted bambooshark), 676 nucleotides long. NCBI's taxonomy places the organism in Eukaryota, Metazoa, Chordata, Chondrichthyes, Orectolobiformes, Hemiscylliidae. The record is from RefSeq and is a predicted model, not a curated record.